UACGUAGGGUGCGAGCGUUGUCCGGAUUUAUUGGGCGUAAAGGGCUCGUAGGUGGUUGAUCGCGUCGGAAGUGUAAUCUUGGGGCUUAACCCUGAGCGUGCUUUCGAUACGGGUUGACUUGAGGAAGGUAGGGGAGAAUGGAAUUCCUGGUGGAGCGGUGGAAUGCGCAGAUAUCAGGAGGAACACCAGUGGCGAAGGCGGUUCUCUGGGCCUUUCCUGACGCUGAGGAG
RNAcentral lists this ribosomal RNA (230 nucleotides) under uncultured microorganism. Its description in RNAcentral is "partial 16S ribosomal RNA". It matches the Rfam family "Bacterial small subunit ribosomal RNA", at positions 524 to 753 of the family's 1533-position model. The record is from RNAcentral.